GUUCUCCUUCAGUAGCACCUAUGUUAAGGUUGGAACAAUCAAGAGAAUAUUACCAGUGACCCCUGGAAAUGGAUGACAUACAAAUCUAUGAAGCAUUGCACACAUUU
Small nuclear RNA from Phodopus roborovskii (desert hamster), 107 nucleotides. NCBI's taxonomy places the organism in Eukaryota, Metazoa, Chordata, Mammalia, Rodentia, Cricetidae. The record is from RefSeq and is a predicted model, not a curated record.